GGGUUGUGAGGUUAAGCGACUAAGCGUACACGGUGGAUGCCCUGGCAGUCAGAGGCGAUGAAGGACGUGCUAAUCUGCGAAAAGCGCCGGCGAGGUGAUAUGAACCCUUGACCCGGCGAUGUCCGAAUGGGGAAACCCAGUGCAAUCCGUUGCACUAUCGUUAACUGAAUACAUAGGUUAACGAGGCGAACCGGGGGAACUGAAACAUCUAAGUACCCCGAGGAAAAGAAAUCAACCGAGAUUCCCCCAGUAGCGGCGAGCGAACGGGGAGCAGCCCGGAGUCUGAAUCAGCUUGUGUGUUAGUGGAACGGUCUGGAAAGUCCGACGGUACAGGGUGAUAGUCCCGUACACGAAAGCACACUGCUGUGAACUCGAAGAGUAGGGCGGGACACGUGGUAUCCUGUCUGAAUAUGGGGGGACCAUCCUCCAAGGCUAAAUACUCCUGACUGACCGAUAGUGAACCAGUACCGUGAGGGAAAGGCGAAAAGAACCCCGGCGAGGGGAGUGAAAAAGAACCUGAAACCGUGUACGUACAAGCAGUGGGAGCCUCUUUAUGGGGUGACUGCGUACCUUUUGUAUAAUGGGUCAGCGACUUAUAUUCUGUAGCAAGGUUAACCGUAUAGGGGAGCCGAAGGGAAACCGAGUCUUAACUGGGCGUUAAGUUGCAGGGUAUAGACCCGAAACCCGGUGAUCUAGCCAUGGGCAGGUUGAAGGUUGGGUAACACUAACUGGAGGACCGAACCGACUAAUGUUGAAAAAUUAGCGGAUGACCUGUGGCUGGGGGUGAAAGGCCAAUCAAACCGGGAGAUAGCUGGUUCUCCCCGAAAGCUAUUUAGGUAGCGCCUCGUGAACUCAUCUUCGGGGGUAGAGCACUGUUUCGGCUAGGGGGCCAUCCCGGCUUACCAACCCGAUGCAAACUACGAAUACCGAAGAAUGUUAUCACGGGAGACACACGGCGGGUGCUAACGUCCGUCGUGAAGAGGGAAACAACCCAGACCGCCAGCUAAGGUCCCAAAGUCAUGGUUAAGUGGGAAACGAUGUGGGAAGGCACAGACAGCCAGGAUGUUGGCUUAGAAGCAGCCAUCAUUUAAAGAAAGCGUAAUAGCUCACUGGUCGAGUCGGCCUGCGCGGAAGAUGUAACGGGGCUAAACCAUGCACCGAAGCUGCGGCAGCGACACUUAUGUGUUGUUGGGUAGGGGAGCGUUCUGUAAGCCGUUGAAGGUGUGCUGUGAGGCAUGCUGGAGGUAUCAGAAGUGCGAAUGCUGACAUAAGUAACGAUAAAGCGGGUGAAAAGCCCGCUCGCCGGAAGACCAAGGGUUCCUGUCCAACGUUAAUCGGGGCAGGGUGAGUCGACCCCUAAGGCGAGGCCGAAAGGCGUAGUCGAUGGGAAACAGGUUAAUAUUCCUGUACUUGGUGUUACUGCGAAGGGGGGACGGAGAAGGCUAUGUCAGCCGGGCGACGGUUGUCCCGGUUUAAGCAUGUAGGCGGAGGUUCCAGGUAAAUCCGGUACCUUAUUAACGCUGAGGUGUGAUGACGAGGCACUACGGUGCUGAAGUGAUAAAUGCCCUGCUUCCAGGAAAAGCCUCUAAGCAUCAGGUAACACGAAAUCGUACCCCAAACCGACACAGGUGGUCAGGUAGAGAAUACCAAGGCGCUUGAGAGAACUCGGGUGAAGGAACUAGGCAAAAUGGUGCCGUAACUUCGGGAGAAGGCACGCUGAUAUGUAGGUGAAGCCCCUGCGGGCGGAGCUGAAAUCAGUCGAAGAUACCAGCUGGCUGCAACUGUUUAUUAAAAACACAGCACUGUGCAAACACGAAAGUGGACGUAUACGGUGUGACGCCUGCCCGGUGCCGGAAGGUUAAUUGAUGGGGUUAGCGGCAACGCGAAGCUCUUGAUCGAAGCCCCGGUAAACGGCGGCCGUAACUAUAACGGUCCUAAGGUAGCGAAAUUCCUUGUCGGGUAAGUUCCGACCUGCACGAAUGGCGUAAUGAUGGCCAGGCUGUCUCCACCCGAGACUCAGUGAAAUUGAACUCGCUGUGAAGAUGCAGUGUACCCGCGGCAAGACGGAAAGACCCCGUGAACCUUUACUAUAGCUUGACACUGAACACUGGUCCUUGAUGUGUAGGAUAGGUGGGAGGCUUUGAAGCGUGGACGCCAGUCUGCGUGGAGCCAACCUUGAAAUACCACCCUUUAAUGGCUGGUGUUCUAACGUAGACCCGUAAUCCGGGUUGCGGACAGUGUCUGGUGGGUAGUUUGACUGGGGCGGUCUCCUCCCAAAGAGUAACGGAGGAGCACGAAGGUUGGCUAAUCCUGGUCGGACAUCAGGAGGUUAGUGCAAUGGCAUAAGCCAGCUUGACUGCGAGCGUGACGGCGCGAGCAGGUGCGAAAGCAGGUCAUAGUGAUCCGGUGGUUCUGAAUGGAAGGGCCAUCGCUCAACGGAUAAAAGGUACUCCGGGGAUAACAGGCUGAUACCGCCCAAGAGUUCAUAUCGACGGCGGUGUUUGGCACCUCGAUGUCGGCUCAUCACAUCCUGGGGCUGAAGUAGGUCCCAAGGGUAUGGCUGUUCGCCAUUUAAAGUGGUACGCGAGCUGGGUUUAGAACGUCGUGAGACAGUUCGGUCCCUAUCUGCCGUGGGCGCUGGAGAAUUGAGGGGGGCUGCUCCUAGUACGAGAGGACCGGAGUGGACGCAUCACUGGUGUUCGGGUUGUCAUGCCAAUGGCACUGCCCGGUAGCUAAAUGCGGAAGAGAUAAGUGCUGAAAGCAUCUAAGCACGAAACUUGCCCCGAGAUGAGUUCUCCCUGAGACCUUGAGUCUCCUGAAGGAACGUUGAAGACGACGACGUUGAUAGGUCGGGUGUGUAAGCGCAGCGAUGCGUUGAGCUAACCGAUACUAAUGAACCGUGAGGCUUAACCUUACAACGCCGAAGGUGUUU
This 2932-nucleotide ribosomal RNA is filed under the name Pedobacter himalayensis. RNAcentral's name for it is "bacterial LSU rRNA". It matches the Rfam family "Bacterial large subunit ribosomal RNA". The record is from RNAcentral. Lineage: Bacteria; Pseudomonadati; Bacteroidota; Sphingobacteriia; Sphingobacteriales; Sphingobacteriaceae.